Molecule: ribosomal RNA, 253 nt
Filed under: uncultured bacterium
Lineage: Bacteria
Description: partial 16S ribosomal RNA
Rfam family: Bacterial small subunit ribosomal RNA
Source: RNAcentral
UACAGAGGCCCCAAGCAUUACCCGGAAUCAUUGGGCGUAAAGGGUGCGUAGGUGGUCAUAUUAGUCGAAUGUUAAAUCCCGGGGCUUAACUCCGGAAUCGCGUUCGAAACGGUACGACUCGAGAGCGUGAGAGGUGAAUGGAACUCAUGGUGUAGGGGUGAAAUCCGUUGAUAUCAUGGGGAACACCGAAAGCGAAAGCAAUUCACUGGCACGUUUCUGACACUCAAGCACGAAAGCGUGGGUAGCGAACGGG